RNAcentral lists this ribosomal RNA (468 nucleotides) under uncultured bacterium. RNAcentral's name for it is "partial 16S ribosomal RNA". It matches the Rfam family "Bacterial small subunit ribosomal RNA", at positions 28 to 507 of the family's 1533-position model. The record is from RNAcentral.
GACGAACGCUGGCGGCGUGCUUAACACAUGCAAGUCGAACGGAAAGGCCCUGCUUUUGUGGGGUGCUCGAGUGGCGAACGGGUGAGUAACACGUGAGUAACCUGCCCUUGACUUUGUGAUAACUUCAGGAAACUGGGGCUAAUACCGGAUAUGAGCUCCUGCUGCAUGGUGGGGGUUGGAAAGUUAGGGCGGUUGGGGAUGGACUCGCGGCUUAUCGGCUUGUUGGGGGGGUAGUGGCUUACCAAGGCUUUGACGGGUAGCCGGCAUGAGAGGGUUACCGGCCACAUUGGGACUGAGAUACGGCGCAGACUCCUACGGGAGGCAGCAGUGGAGAAUAUUGCACAAUGGGCGGAAGCCUGAUGCAGCAACGCCGCGUGCGGGAUGACGGCCUUCGGGUUGUAAACAGAUUUCGACUGUGACGAAGCGUGAGUGACGGUAAUGGGUAAAGAAGCACCGGCUAACUACGUG